This 480-nucleotide ribosomal RNA is filed under the name uncultured bacterium. Its description in RNAcentral is "partial 16S ribosomal RNA". It matches the Rfam family "Bacterial small subunit ribosomal RNA", at positions 28 to 523 of the family's 1533-position model. The record is from RNAcentral.
AAUGAACGUUGGCGGCGUGGAUUAGGCAUGCAAGUCGAGCGAGAACCCCGCAGGGGGGGACAGCGGCAAACGGCGUAGUAAGGCGUAGGUACGUGCCCCCGGGUCUGGGAUAGCCAAGGGAAACUUUGGGUAAUACCGGAUAUUCUCGAGAGAGCAAAGGUGUGACUCCGCCUGGGGAGUGGCUUACGUGGUAUUAGCUUGUUGGUGAGGUAACGGCUCACCAAGGCAACGAUGCCUAGGGGGUGUGAGAGCACGACCCCCACGACUGGGACUGAGAUACUGCCCAGACACCUACGGGUGGCUGCAGUCGAGAAUCUUCGGCAAUGGGCGCAAGCCUGACCGAGCGACGCCGCGUGUGGGAUGAAGGCCCUUGGGUUGUAAACCACUGUCAGAGGGGAUGAAGUGCACGGGGGUACUCCCUCGUGUUUGACAUAGCCUCAGAGGAAGCACGGGCUAAGUUCGUGCCAGCCGCCGCCGUAA